GACGAACGCUGGCGGCGUGCUUAACACAUGCAAGUCGAGCGGUAAGGCCCUUUUGGGGGUACACGAGCGGCGAACGGGUGAGUAACACGUGGGUGACCUGCCCUCAGCUCUGGGAUAAGCCUGGGAAACUGGGUCUAAUACUGGAUAUGACCUUUCCUCGCAUGGGGUUGGGUGGAAAGUUUUUCGGCUGGGGAUGGGCCCGCGGCCUAUCAGCUUGUUGGGUGGGGUGAUGGCCUACCAAGGCGACGACGGGUAGCCGGCCUGAGAGGGCGACCGGCCACACUGGGACUGAGACACGGCCCAGACUCCUACGGGAGGCAGCAGUGGGGAAUAUUGCGCAAUGGGCGGAAGCCUGACGCAGCGACGCCGCGUGGGGGA
This 378-nucleotide ribosomal RNA is filed under the name uncultured bacterium. Its description in RNAcentral is "bacterial SSU rRNA". It matches the Rfam family "Bacterial small subunit ribosomal RNA", at positions 28 to 408 of the family's 1533-position model. The record is from RNAcentral.